AUGGCAUCCAUCCAUCCAUCCAUCCAUCCCAUUUAUCUAAACAAAAAAAAGAGAAAGAAAGAAAAGAACCCCCACCCUCCGGGCAGCCCAACCACCCAAACCCUAUCCCAUCCCACUCCAUCGUCGCCGCCCCCAGAUGCAAUCUCGCCGCUGCCACGCUCGCGCACGCUCGCCGCCGCCAUCCAUCCAUCCUCUCGAGCUCGCGCACGCUCGCCGCUGCCACGUCCGCCGCCGCAGGCGGCGUACGUGAAGCUCGCGCUGCACGCGCUCAAGCACCCGGCGGCGGCCGUCAACGGGCUCCUCAUCGGCCGCCUGGCGGACUCGGCCGCCUCCCCGGCCGUCGUCUCGGUCGUCGACGCCGUGCCGCUCUCCCACCAGCCGCACCACCUCCCGCUGCUCCCCACGCUCGAGCUCGCGCUCACCCUCGUGGAGGACCACUUCCAGGCGCAGGGCCUCGCCGUCGUCGGAUACUACCACGCCAACGCGCGCCGCGAUGACGCCGACCUCCCCGUCGUCGCCAAGCGCGUCGGGGACCACAUCUUCCGCUACUUCCCCCGCGCCGCCGUGCUGCUGCUGGACAACAUGAAGCUCGAGGAGGUGGUGAAGGGGAGCAGCCGCGAUGCAGUUGUUCAGUAUGUUUCCUUAGAUACUGUAUCUUCUAUUAAGUUUUUAGUGGUAACUACAAAAAUUAGACCAUGUAUUGACUUUCUUCCUAGCCUUUUUUCUGUCAUUUUUCAUGCAUUGAACUAA
This 750-nucleotide ribosomal RNA is filed under the name Triticum aestivum (bread wheat). RNAcentral describes it as "partial small subunit ribosomal RNA". The record is from RNAcentral. Lineage: Eukaryota; Viridiplantae; Streptophyta; Magnoliopsida; Poales; Poaceae.